UAAAAUCUCUUUCACCAGUAUUAUUGUGGUGUAUUACUAUAAAAACUUCAUAUGUCGGUAUGCAAUGUGGUUGAAGAAAGAAAAGCAUCAUAUACUAAGUAGAACCAAGAAGAAUGCAUAUGCAAUAGAGCAGCACCUCAGAGACUUUGCCUACUAAAAUACCCUGCAUCAACCACAUACUACUUUCUAAUCAUACAUUGCAGUCCAAGUUAUGCUGUUUUAUUGUUUGGAGCUUCUUCAUUGGGACUAGGAAAUUCAUCAAAUUUAAAGAAUGACUCCGCCUGAAAAGAUGUAAAUGGAAAAGAAGAAUAUUCAUAUCAGGAUUUUAGAACAAGAAGAUCAAUAAAUAAAUGCCUGUCCUGCUCCUGCAACUAAACAGAAAUUAGUAAAUCUCAACAAGGUGAAAGUAAACAAAGAGAAGGGCUUUUGUUGAUAUGCUAUGUACAGCCCAUUUGCCCAAGCCCAAUUACAACACCCAAUACCCAACAGCCCAAUAGCCCAAAAUCAUCAAAAAAUAGGAAAAAACCCUAACCCUAGCCUCUGACAGCCACUUGCGCCGCACCCAGGCCUGCUGGUCAACCACCCCACCGCCGUAGCCACCAACUGCUCUGCCACUUGCGCCGCGCACGUCCCAUCGUCCUCCAUCAGCCCUGCAAAAUGAAGAACACACGCAAGCAGCAACAAACAAUAAAAAUUUGUAAAAUGGCUCUAUAUAAAGCCAUUCGAACAUCAAAAAGGGGGGGAUUUUUUGGUAAAAAAAAAGAGACAACACAUUAGCAGAAAGAAAUAAAAGCAAACAAACAGAUUCCAGGUUGAUUUUUCCAUCAGAUUCGCAUUUUCUUUUUUUAUUUAUUUUCUUUAUUUUGUAUAUCAAAUAGAAAACAAAAAAAGGACGAGAUGAAGCCUUACCUGCGCCGCGCCGGAGAGGAGGGAAGGCGAACGGAUUCCUUCUCUUCUUUUCGGUUUUGACUCGUUUUUUAAAGGAUUCGGCUUUGAAUCCGAGUUCUAAAGGGAGUGGGCUUCAAGCGGGGCUAAGAAAGGUUUUGUUUUGCACCUCCGGCCGCCGUCUGUGGCGGAGCUACGGCGGAGGUGCGCCGGAGCCUUUGGUCGGGUCCUGGGGAGAGGGUGUUGGGAGAGUUUUGACUCUCUCUCUGUUUUUGUUGAAAAUGAAGA
RNAcentral lists this long non-coding RNA (1173 nucleotides) under Gossypium barbadense (sea-island cotton). RNAcentral's name for it is "long non-coding RNA (GBAR_LNC011996)". The record is from RNAcentral. Lineage: Eukaryota; Viridiplantae; Streptophyta; Magnoliopsida; Malvales; Malvaceae.